This 253-nucleotide ribosomal RNA is filed under the name uncultured bacterium. RNAcentral describes it as "partial 16S ribosomal RNA". It matches the Rfam family "Bacterial small subunit ribosomal RNA", at positions 524 to 776 of the family's 1533-position model. The record is from RNAcentral.
UACGUAUGGGGCAAGCGUUAUCCGGAUUCAUUGGGCGUAAAGAGCGCGUAGGCGGCUUGGUAAGUCAGAUGUGAAAACUGGGGGCUCAACCCGCAGCCUGCAUCUGAAACUUCCAGGCUUGAGUCUGGUAGAGGAAAGUGGAAUUCCUAGUGUAGCGGUGAAAUGCGCAGAUAUUAGGAGGAACACCAGUGGCGAAGGCGGCUUUCUGGGCCACGACUGACGCUGAGGCGCGAAAGCGUGGGGAGCAAACAGG